This is a non-coding RNA of Cubamyces lactineus, 104 nucleotides long. The record is from the annotation of a GenBank genome assembly. NCBI's taxonomy places the organism in Eukaryota, Fungi, Basidiomycota, Agaricomycetes, Polyporales, Polyporaceae.
GGCGAGAUGGCCGAGCGGUCUAAGGCGCCAGACUAAGGUGGACAUUUCAGGAGUGUUCAGUGAUCUGGUCCUCACGGGCGUGGGUUCGAAUCCCACUCUCGUCA